AGUCGAACGGCAGCACGGGAGCAAUCCUGGUGGCGAGUGGCGAACGGGUGAGUAAUAUAUCGGAACGUGCCCAAUCGUGGGGGAUAACGCAGCGAAAGCUGUGCUAAUACCGCAUACGAUCUACGGAUGAAAGCGGGGGACUCAGCAAUGGGCCUCGCGCGAAUGGAGCGGCCGAUAUCAGAUUAGCUAGUUGGUGGGGUAAAGGCUCACCAAGGCGACGAUCUGUAGCUGGUCUGAGAGGACGACCAGCCACACUGGAACUGAGACACGGUCCAGACUCCUACGGGAGGCAGCAGUGGGGAAUUUUGGACAAUGGGCGCAAGCCUGAUCCAGCAAUGCCGCGUGCAGGAUGAAGGCCUUCGGGUUGUAAACUGCUUUUGUACGGAACGAAAAGACUCCUUCUAAUAAAGGGGGUUCAUGACGGU
This 425-nucleotide ribosomal RNA is filed under the name uncultured bacterium. Its description in RNAcentral is "bacterial SSU rRNA". It matches the Rfam family "Bacterial small subunit ribosomal RNA", at positions 60 to 476 of the family's 1533-position model. The record is from RNAcentral.